ACUCAAAGGAAUUGACGGGGGCCCGCACAAGCGGUGGAGCAUGUUGUUUAAUACGUCACUAACCGUAGAACCUUACCAGGGCUUGACAUCUGCCGACAACCCAUGAAAGUGGGCCUUCCUCGCAAGAGGACGGCAAGACAGGUGUUGCAUGGCUGUCGUCAGCUCGUGUCGUGAGAUGUUGGGUUAAGUCCCGCAACGAGCGCAACCCUCACCCCAUGUUGGCAGCGCGUGAUGGCGGCAACUCUUGGGGAACUGCCUUCGCAAGAGGGAGGAAGGUGGGGAUGACGUCAAGUCAGCAUGGCCCUUACGCCCUGGGCUACAAACAUGCUACAAUGGACGGUCAGACAAAGCGACCCGAGACCGUAAGGUGGAGGCAAUCGCAAAAAUCCGUUCCCAGUUCGGAUCGCAGGCUGCAACUCGCCUGCGUGAAGUCGGAAUCGCUAGUAACCGCCGAUCAGCCAAGCGGCGGUGAAUACGUUCCCGGGCCUUGUACACACCGCCCGU
RNAcentral lists this ribosomal RNA (504 nucleotides) under uncultured bacterium. RNAcentral describes it as "partial 16S ribosomal RNA". It matches the Rfam family "Bacterial small subunit ribosomal RNA", at positions 899 to 1397 of the family's 1533-position model. The record is from RNAcentral.